Molecule: transfer RNA, 79 nt
Filed under: Streptomyces cirratus
Lineage: Bacteria; Bacillati; Actinomycetota; Actinomycetes; Kitasatosporales; Streptomycetaceae
Description: tRNA-Thr
Source: RNAcentral
GUGGCCUUGGGCGAGGGCGGGGCCGCGGCGGUGGUGCCGCCGAGACUGACCCCGCCUGUCCAGGAACCGGCGGGCUCCG